CAUCGCGAUGCUCCUCCCAAAAGGAGACAUCGUGAUGCGGAUACUUUCAAAGCGCCAGCUGAAGGAGUUGGUUCUAUACUCGCCUCAGCACAUCGCACGCCUUGAGAAGGCCGGGCAAUUCCCUAAGCGGGUCAAUCUCGGCCCGAACUGGGUGGGAUGGGUCGAGGACGAGGUUCUGGAUUGGCUCAAAGAACGCAUGGAGCGCCGCGAGCGGACCUGAGCGACCUCCUCUCGCAGGAGCAGGGUGGUCGGACGUGCACAGUUC
RNAcentral lists this non-coding RNA (265 nucleotides) under Oceanicola granulosus HTCC2516. RNAcentral describes it as "Ruegeria trans44 sRNA". It matches the Rfam family "Ruegeria trans44 sRNA". From Rfam's summary of the family: Trans-encoded. Higher sRNA expression during C-limited growth. Lineage: Bacteria; Pseudomonadati; Pseudomonadota; Alphaproteobacteria; Rhodobacterales; Roseobacteraceae. The record is from Rfam by way of RNAcentral.